Molecule: ribosomal RNA, 489 nt
Filed under: uncultured Vibrio sp.
Lineage: Bacteria; Pseudomonadati; Pseudomonadota; Gammaproteobacteria; Vibrionales; Vibrionaceae
Description: bacterial SSU rRNA
Rfam family: Bacterial small subunit ribosomal RNA
Source: RNAcentral
GACGGGGCCCGCNCAAGCGGUGGAGCAUGUGGUUUANUUCGAUGCAACGCGAAGANCCUUNNCUACUCUUGACAUCCAGAGAAGCCAGCAGAGAUGCAGGUGUGCCUUCGGGAGCUCUGAGACAGGUGCUGCAUGGCGUCGUCAGCUCGUGUUGUGAAAUGUUGGGUUAAGUCCCGCAACGAGCGCAACCCUUAUCCUUGUUUGCCAGCACGUAAUGGUGGGAACUCCAGGGAGACUGCCGGUGAUAAACCGGAGGAAGGUGGGGACGACGUCAAGUCAUCAUGGCCCUUACGAGUAGGGCUACACACGUGCUACAAUGGUGCAUACAGAGGGAAGCAAGAGCGCGAGCUGGAGCGGAUCCCAAAAAGUGCAUCGUAGUCCGGAUUGGAGUCUGCAACUCGACUCCAUGAAGUCGGAAUCGCUAGUAAUCGUGAUCAGAAUGCCACGGUGAAUACGUUCCCGGGCCUUGUACACACCGCCGUNUCUUGC